Molecule: long non-coding RNA, 1228 nt
Organism: Zea mays
Lineage: Eukaryota; Viridiplantae; Streptophyta; Magnoliopsida; Poales; Poaceae
Exons: 3
Source: RefSeq, a predicted model, not a curated record
GUUGUUUGUUUUUGCUUGUCUUUGGAAGAUAAUUGUUGUUGCCGCUAAAUGCCUAAUAGACAAUUGUCUAUUUUUUUAUUUGGAGUAUAUAAUGAUUUUCAUGUAAUUAGCAUUGCAACUCAUAGAAUAGCAGCCUGGGUGUACCUCUGUUUGUGUGGUGCUCAUGCUCUACAUUGAUGAUACUCUAGCUCAUCUUGAAUUUAGCUGCAAAUGCAGCUAUGUUGGUUUUCCCAAGGGCACGGUGAUUUAGAAUGUCACCAUGUUGGCAGUAGACUAGUUACCAAUGCGUGGCCAGACCAAAUUUACUAUUUAUUCACGAGAAAGGGUAGCCAGACUUUUAUUAUAAAUUCCAAUAGUAUCUUUUACUUUUAUGUAUUCUGGUAUAUUUGAGAAGGGCAGACCUAGUACAGUGUGAAAGCAUUUUGCGGUUGAAGAAUUGCCUCAGUUUAUUCCUUUCCCAGACUCAUAUGAGUUGGGAGCCUCCGGCACUGGGUCUACAUUUUUUUAUUCUGCUAUAUUUGGGCAUGCUAAGAGCCUAAGGUUAAUUCAUUUUGCAACAAUUUGAUAUGCUCUGUAGCUGUAAAUGUUGUCAAGUUUUUAUUAGUGCCUUUUAGUUCCUUUUGCUUAUUAUGUGCUUUCUGACUCAAACCAUUUACUAGAUUGUAGCAGCAGUGAAUUUGGGAGCUUGAAGCGUUCAUCCGAGACAUGGAAAAAGUGAUCUACCGAGCAUAUCUCCUUCGAUGCAAGCGAUUCUUUUCGAAAGAAACUCUUGAUUGGUGUGUCUUAGCCCGUGGGAACACCCAUUUCUCCUCUCUGGUGAACUACACAUAGUGGUUAUAUGCUCCUCUAUGCUCCACAACAAGCAGGCUGAUGCAUUAUUUUUCCUGAAGUUAUUAUGUUCCAGUCUAUGCCAGACAUCUACAUGUAGAUGAUGCUCAUAUAAGGGGGGGUUAAUAUAUUUGCCAUCUUCAGCCUACAUCUGUUGCUGCCCUAAUUAGUUGAUUUGUCUUCUGUGUACUAUCUGAGGUCAGGCCUCAUCCUUGCUACACUUAGUAAUUUCAUGCUAUGUUUGCAGUGGGCUUGUAGUGGAACAGAAUUCUACAUACUGUGGUAGUUGUUUCAUUUUCAGACCUUAUCUGCCUUACGGAUCAUCUUUUUUCUCUGCUCUGAAACUGUCAAAAUUCAAAUAAUUGUAGACCUUAUCAUAUUUUCUAAUUGCAGGCAAGAU